GUCUUGGUGGUGUAGUGGUAGUAGUACGCGUCCCUGGCAUGGAUAAAACGCGGGUUCGAUUCCCAGCUGAGACC
Parelaphostrongylus tenuis is the source of this 74-nucleotide non-coding RNA. Lineage: Eukaryota; Metazoa; Nematoda; Chromadorea; Rhabditida; Metastrongylidae. The record is from the annotation of a GenBank genome assembly.